GCUUUACUGUUCCCUGGGAUUGGGUUUGGGCCUUUCUUGCGCAGCUUAGGUGGGAGGCAGAGAAGAUUUCCUUCCGGGGAAAUUAGAGCCACCAAUGAGACACCACCCUAGAAAGGCUAGAAUUCUAACUUUGUACCUAGCAGAAGGUCAGAGGACAUUCCCAGGUAGACAGUUUCUAUGGGGCGUAGGCCUCCUAAAAAGUAACGGAGGCGUGCAAAGGUUUCCUCAGGCUGGACGGAAAUCAGCCUUUGAGUGUAAAGGCAGAAGGAAGCUUGACUGCAAGACUUACACGUCGAGCAGGGACGAAAGUCGGCCUUAGUGAUCCGACGGUGCCGAGUGGAAGGGCCGUCGCUCAACGGAUAAAAGUUA
Molecule: ribosomal RNA, 369 nt
Filed under: Zygnema sp. 1 AS-2014
Lineage: Eukaryota; Viridiplantae; Streptophyta; Zygnematophyceae; Zygnematales; Zygnemataceae
Description: bacterial LSU rRNA
Rfam family: Bacterial large subunit ribosomal RNA
Source: RNAcentral